Molecule: ribosomal RNA, 253 nt
Filed under: uncultured bacterium
Lineage: Bacteria
Description: partial 16S ribosomal RNA
Rfam family: Bacterial small subunit ribosomal RNA
Source: RNAcentral
CACGGGGGGAGCAAGCGUUGUUCGGAAUCACUGGGCGUAAAGGGCGUGUAGGCGGUCGAGUAAGUGGGAUGUGAAAUCCCCCGGCUUACCCGGGGACCGGCAUCUCAAACUGCUCGGCUAGAGUAUGGGAGAGGAUGAGGGAAUUCCUGGUGUAGCGGUGAAAUGCGUAGAUAUCAGGAGGAACACCGGUGGCGAAAGCGCUCAUCUGGCCCAAUACUGACGCUGAGGCGCGAAAGCUAGGGGAGCAAACGGG